CCCUUGCAAAGCUAUGGAGGACAUAGUGGAGGUUAUCAAGGAGGACAGGUGGUGGCAUGGUUGUCGUCAGCUCGUGUCGUGAGAUGUUGGUUAAGUCCCGCAACGAGCGCAACCCUUAUUGCUAGUUACCAUCAUUCAGUUGGGGGACUCUAGCGAGACUGCCAGUGAUAAACUGGAGGAAGGUGGGGGAUGACGUCAAAUCAUCAUGCCCCUUAUGACCUGGGCUACAAACGUGAUACAAUGGCUGAAACAAAGGGCAGCGAAGCAGUGAUGUGGAGCGAAACCCAAAAAAGCAGUCUCAGUUCGGGUUGAAGUCUGCAACUCGACUUCAUGAAGUCGGAAUCGCUAGUAAUCGCGGAUCAGAACGCCGCGGUGAAUACGUUCUCGGGGUUU
This 393-nucleotide ribosomal RNA is filed under the name uncultured Acholeplasma sp. Its description in RNAcentral is "bacterial SSU rRNA". It matches the Rfam family "Bacterial small subunit ribosomal RNA", at positions 988 to 1382 of the family's 1533-position model. The record is from RNAcentral. Lineage: Bacteria; Bacillati; Mycoplasmatota; Mollicutes; Acholeplasmatales; Acholeplasmataceae.